This 481-nucleotide ribosomal RNA is filed under the name uncultured Desulfobulbus sp. RNAcentral describes it as "bacterial SSU rRNA". It matches the Rfam family "Bacterial small subunit ribosomal RNA", at positions 906 to 1382 of the family's 1533-position model. The record is from RNAcentral. Lineage: Bacteria; Pseudomonadati; Thermodesulfobacteriota; Desulfobulbia; Desulfobulbales; Desulfobulbaceae.
GGAAUUGACGGGGCCCGCACAAGCGGUGGAGUAUGUGGUUAAUUCGAUGCAACGCGAAGAACCUUACCUGGUCUUGACAUCCCGGAGACCCUUAGGAAACUAGGGGGUGCUUCCAUCUGGAAGAAUCUGGAGACAGGUGCUGCAUGGCUGUCGUCAGCUCGUGUCGUGAGAUGUUGGGGUUAAGUCCCGCAACGAGCGCAACCCUUGCCUUUAGUUGCCAGCAGUUCGGCUGGGCACUCUAAAGGGACUGCCGGUGUUAAACCGGAGGAAGGUGGGGAUGACGUCAAGUCCUCAUGGCCUUUAUGACCAGGGCUACACACGUACUACAAUGGCCGAUACAAAGGGCAGCGACACUGCGAGGUGAAGCCAAUCCCGUAAAAUCGGUCUCAGUCCGGAUUGGAGUCUGCAACUCGACUCCAUGAAGUUGGAAUCGCUAGUAAUCGUGGAUCAGCAUGCCACGGUGAAUACGUUCCCGGGCCUU